UCGAACCGGCGACCUUUUGAUCUACCAGCCCAGCAGCACAGUGGUUUAAACCACUGCGCCACCUGCAGUCCCUAGUUAGCUCAAAGCAAAUUUGGUGUGAUGGCUGAUUUGAUCCUUCCUCUUAGCCUGUUUUGCUGGUAAAGCAGGCUCAUGGGAGGAUUCUUACAGAGUCUUACCCCUUGCAUAUAGUCUGCCACUGAACUAGGGACUCUCCCUUUUCAGAACACUGGAAUUUCAGAUUAAUUGCAUUAACAGCCCAUGUGGAUUCCCUGGCAACAUCCAAACAAGAGGAGCUUACCUGCUUGAGGAUAAUCAUGGAGACACAUUUCCUUUGGGGUUAGAAGGUAACUGGUAUCCCAUAUCCUUGGGCAAAUGGUGCGGCAGAUGGAACCUGUUGUCUUGUUUUAAAAUGGCUGCCCCUUCUUCGAAAGGGUGCUUAAAAACACUCCCCUUCCACAUGUCUGAAGACAAUAAGGAUGACGCAGCCUUCAAAUAAAACCUGAAUGAAAGCUGA
Varanus komodoensis (Komodo dragon) is the source of this 514-nucleotide long non-coding RNA. RefSeq lists it as uncharacterized. NCBI's taxonomy places the organism in Eukaryota, Metazoa, Chordata, Lepidosauria, Squamata, Varanidae. The record is from RefSeq and is a predicted model, not a curated record. The transcript has 2 exons.